RNAcentral lists this ribosomal RNA (253 nucleotides) under uncultured bacterium. RNAcentral's name for it is "partial 16S ribosomal RNA". It matches the Rfam family "Bacterial small subunit ribosomal RNA", at positions 524 to 776 of the family's 1533-position model. The record is from RNAcentral.
UACGAAGGGGGCAAGCGUUGUUCGGAAUGACUGGGCGUAAAGGGCGCGUAGGCGGUGCGUUGCGUCAGGUGUGAAAUCCCCGGGCUCAACCUGGGAACUGCACUUGAUACGGGCGUGCUUGAAUCCGCGAGAGGUUGGUGGAAUUCCCAGUGUAGAGGUGAAAUUCGUAGAUAUUGGGAAGAACACCAGUGGCGAAGGCGGCCAACUGGCGCGGUAUUGACGCUGAGGCGCGAAAGCGUGGGGAGCAAACAGG